AGUGGCGAACGGNUGAGUAACACGUGAGAAACCUGCCCCAAAGAUCGGGAUAACCUCCGGAAACGGUGGCUAAUACCGAAUACCCCUGACCGGUCGCAUGGCUGGUCAAGGAAAUGCUCCGGCGCUUUGGGAGGGUCUCGCGGCCUAUCAGCUAGUUGGUGGGGUAACGGCCUACCAAGGCAUCGACGGGUAGCUGGUCUGAGAGGACGAUCAGCCACACUGGGACUGAGACACGGCCCAGACUCCUACGGGAGGCAGCAGUAGGGAAUCUUGCGCAAUGGGCGAAAGCCUGACGCAGCAACGCCGCGUGGGGGAUGACGGCUCUAGGGUUGUAAACCCCUUUCAGCAGGGACGAAAAUGACGGUACCUGCAGAAGAAGCUCCGGCCAACUACGUGCCAGCAGCCGCGGUAACACGUAGGGGGCAAGCGUUGUCCGGAAUUAUUGGGCGUAAAGAGCUCGUAGGCGGUUUGGUAAGUCGGAUGUGAAAACUCAGGGCUCAACCCGGAGAGGCCAUCCGAUACUGCCAUGACUANAGUCCGGUAGAGGAGUGNGNAANUUCUGNUGNNNCGGUGANNUGCGCAGAUAUCANAAGGAACACCAACGGNNAANGCAGCACUCUGGGCCGGUACNGACGCUGAGGAGCGAAAGCGUGGGGAGCAAACAGGANUANAU
This 673-nucleotide ribosomal RNA is filed under the name uncultured bacterium. RNAcentral's name for it is "partial 16S ribosomal RNA". It matches the Rfam family "Bacterial small subunit ribosomal RNA", at positions 94 to 783 of the family's 1533-position model. The record is from RNAcentral.